GAUGAACGCUGGCGGCGUGCCUAACACAUGCAAGUCGAGCGAAGCACUUUGCUUAGAUUCUUCGGAUGAAGAGGAUUGUGACUGAGCGGCGGACGGGUGAGUAACGCGUGGGUAACCUGCCUCAUACAGGGGGAUAACAGUUAGAAAUGACUGCUAAUACCGCAUAAGACCACAGCACCGCAUGGUGCGGGGGUAAAAACUCCGGUGGUAUGAGAUGGACCCGCGUCUGAUUAGCUAGUUGGUAAGGUAACGGCUUACCAAGGCGACGAUCAGUAGCCGACCUGAGAGGGUGACCGGCCACAUUGGGACUGAGACACGGCCCAAACUCCUACGGGAGGCAGCAGUGGGGAAUAUUGCACAAUGGGGGAAACCCUGAUGCAGCGACGCCGCGUGAGCGAAGAAGUAUUUCGGUAUGUAAAGCUCUAUCAGCAGGGAAGAAAAUGACGGUAC
RNAcentral lists this ribosomal RNA (450 nucleotides) under uncultured bacterium. Its description in RNAcentral is "bacterial SSU rRNA". It matches the Rfam family "Bacterial small subunit ribosomal RNA", at positions 28 to 478 of the family's 1533-position model. The record is from RNAcentral.